GCGGGAGUGGUGGAAUCGGUAGACACGCAGGAUUUAGGUUCCUGUGCCUUCGGGCGUGGGGGUUCAAGUCCCCCCUUCCGCACGA
This 85-nucleotide transfer RNA is filed under the name Microbacterium sp. Leaf179. Its description in RNAcentral is "tRNA-Leu". It matches the Rfam family "tRNA". Rfam says of the family: Transfer RNA (tRNA) molecules are approximately 80 nucleotides in length. The record is from RNAcentral. RNAcentral also lists the same sequence under 2 other names. Lineage: Bacteria; Bacillati; Actinomycetota; Actinomycetes; Micrococcales; Microbacteriaceae.